Molecule: unclassified non-coding RNA, 240 nt
Filed under: soil metagenome
Description: partial contains 5.8S ribosomal RNA, internal transcribed spacer 2, and large subunit ribosomal RNA
Source: RNAcentral
AACGCACGAGACCUGCGGACCUGCGGAAGGAUCAUUACCGAGUUUACAACUCCCAAACCCAAUGUGAACGUUACCAAACUGUUGCCUCGGCGGGAUCUCUGCCCCGGGUGCGUCGCAGCCCCGGACCAAGGCGCCCGCCGGAGGACCAACCUAAAACUCUUAUUGUAUACCCCCUCGCGGGUUUUUUUAUAAUCUGAGCCUUCUCGGCGCCUCUCGUAGGCGUUUCGAAAAUGAAUCAAA